AUGCACUACCUUGGACUUCCGUUAUCCGUCAAGCGCCUCAAGCGAAUCCACUUCCAGUACCUUGAAGAUAAAAUUGCGGGCAAGCUCCCUCCCUGGCAGGGAAGACAUGUGGCCUCUGCUGGCUGUGUGGUUCUUGUUAAGGCCAUCCUAACUGCAAUUGCUAUCUACCAUCUCACGCCUCUCGACAUCCCGGUGGAGGUCCUCAAGAAAAUCGAUAGUAUUCGCCGUGCGUAUCUUUGGGCAGGCUCAGACAAGGUGUCUGGAGGAAAAUGCAAGGUUAACUGGGAGCUCGUCUGUAAGCCCAAGGACAAGGGUGGGCUCGGAGUGCUUAACCUGGAUAAGUUCUCCAAGGCUCUGCGGCUCCGAUGGCUAUGGUUUGAAUGGACUGACAAGAGCAAGCCAUGGAUUGGCAUGGGGAUG
This 420-nucleotide ribosomal RNA is filed under the name Triticum aestivum (bread wheat). RNAcentral describes it as "partial small subunit ribosomal RNA". The record is from RNAcentral. Lineage: Eukaryota; Viridiplantae; Streptophyta; Magnoliopsida; Poales; Poaceae.